AUUGUCUCCAGUUUGGGACAAUCACUCAAUUACAGAGGAAGACGAAUGGUGACCCUGAAGAGGCACAUCCUCAUUUAAGAAAAAAGAAAGAUGUCGAGUCCAGUCAAUCUAAGGAUUGUUUUUGGUGGGGAUGAAGAUGCAAGAAAGCUUGCACUUAAGACAGGAAUCCCAAAGUCUGUGGAUGAACUUGUCCUUGAAAUAAUGACUGUUUUUGGUGUAAAGCAAAAUUUCAGGCUCCAGUACAAAGAUAAGGACUUUGGAAAUGAAUACAUGAAUCUCACAUCAACCACUCAAAUUGAAGACAGGGAUACCCUGAAAGUGAUUUUUCUGUCAACUGAUGACUUUAACUCCUGCAUGCAUGAGACUG
This is a non-coding RNA of Danio rerio (zebrafish), 367 nucleotides long. The record is from RefSeq and is a predicted model, not a curated record. Lineage: Eukaryota; Metazoa; Chordata; Actinopteri; Cypriniformes; Danionidae.